RNAcentral lists this ribosomal RNA (468 nucleotides) under uncultured bacterium. RNAcentral's name for it is "partial 16S ribosomal RNA". It matches the Rfam family "Bacterial small subunit ribosomal RNA", at positions 28 to 507 of the family's 1533-position model. The record is from RNAcentral.
GACGAACGCUGGCGGCGUGCUUAACACAUGCAAGUCGAACGGAAAGGCCCUGCUUUUGUGGGGUGCUCGAGUGGCGAACGGGUGAGUAACAAGUGAGUAACCUGCCCUUGACUUUGGGAUAACUUCAGGAAACUGGGGCUAAUAUCGGAUAGGAGCUCCUGCUGCAUGGUGGGGGUUGGAAAGUUUCGGCGGGUGGGGAUGGACUCGCGGCUUAUCAGCUUGUUGGUGGGGUAGUGGCUUACCAAGGCUUUGACGGGUAGCCGGCCUGAGAGGGUGACCGGCCACAUUGGGACUGAGAUACGGCCCAGACUCCUACGGGAGGCAGCAGUGGGGAAUAUUGCACAAUGGGCGGAAGCCUGAUGCAGCAACGCCGCGUGCGGGAUGACGGCCUUCGGGUUGUAAACCGCUUUCGCCUGUGACGAAGCGUGAGUGACGGUAAUGGGUAAAGAAGCACCGGCUAACUACGUG